RNAcentral lists this unclassified non-coding RNA (1183 nucleotides) under Hevea brasiliensis (rubber tree). The record is from RNAcentral. Lineage: Eukaryota; Viridiplantae; Streptophyta; Magnoliopsida; Malpighiales; Euphorbiaceae.
ACUCCAUUAAAACCAUCAAAUAAAGACGACGCAGGGGACCACAUAGUACCCAAAUUACAGCUAGAUAAUGUCUCAAACGAUCAGAUCGACACUGAAAACCAAACAACUAAUAUAUAAAAGAAACGAGUUUGGGUGGGGGGAGAGAAGUACACAAAUUAACCUAAAAACCCAACAGGAAAACCUACUUGGCAUGCCAACGACGCACAUGCCCCCUCAAACAUCAGCCAAUUUACAGCCAGCUGCCAUCAGAAUCACGAAUCAAAAGCCUACUUCUUGGCCGCCUUCCUUGCAGGUGCCUUUCUCGCCGGGGACUUCCCCUUCGCUGGAGUCGCCGCCUUCUUCUUCGCUGCAGGAGCGGCCUUCUUAGGAGUGGCAGCAGGAGCAGCCUUCUUCACGGGCACAGCCUUCUUAGCCGGUGGUGGGACUAUUGCCUUCUUUGCCGGAGCAGCAGCCUUCUUUGCGGGAGCGUCCUUGGCGGAGGUCUUGGCGGCCUUUGCAGGGCGAGCCUUUGGCGCCGGCCGAGGAGCCGGCUUCGGCUUCGCCGCAGCCUUGGGCGCAGGCUUCGGCUUGGCAGCUGGGGCCUUCGCCUUGGGCUUGGCAACAGCCUUGGGCUUCGCAGCGGCCUUCACCUUCGGCUUGACAGGGGCCUUUGCCUUGGGUUUAGCUGCCGCCUUCUUCGCCUUCGGCUUUGCCGCCGUCUUAGGCUUUGCAGUCUUCGGCUUAGCAGCAGUUUUGGCCUUAGGCUUCGUGGCCUUCUUCGGUUUGUCGGCGAGCUUGUAGGAGCCCUUCACCUUCGUGAGCUUACCGGCAGCGGUGAACCGCUUCAGCUGGGUGAGAAGAAGCUUCUUGAAGGUCGGGGGCAGGCCCUUGUGCUUGUCUUCGAUGAACUUCGUGAUGGCGUACUGGCUCGAUCCGCUGCGCUCCUUAAGCGAGGUGAUCGCCUCGCUAAUCAUAUCGAGGUACGGGGGAUGAGCGGCGGCGACCUUCGGCUUCCUCGGGGCGGAGGGCUUCUUCGCCUUGGCCUCCUUGGCGGGCUUGGGCUUCUCCUCCGCUGCAGCUUCGGCGGCCGGCUCCGCCGGCGCCGGAUCGGCAAUUGGGACCUCGACGGUUGGGGCCUCGGUGGCGGUCUCCUCGGUGGCCAUUGCUGGGGAUGGGGGGGAGCUAGGGCUAGGGUUAGGGUUUG